AUUCUGCCCAUGCGGGGAAGGAUGAGAAGCAACGACCCGAAGGGCGAAGCGCGCAGCGCUGAGUAAUCCUUCCCCCACCACCA
Molecule: small RNA, 83 nt
Filed under: Escherichia coli
Lineage: Bacteria; Pseudomonadati; Pseudomonadota; Gammaproteobacteria; Enterobacterales; Enterobacteriaceae
Description: RtT sRNA
Rfam family: RtT RNA
About the family: This family represents a bacterial cis-regulatory element known as RtT RNA. The exact function of RtT is unknown although it is thought that it may be involved in changing the cellular response in relation to amino acid starvation.
Source: RNAcentral